UACGGGUGGGGCAAGCGUUGUUCGGAAUUACUGGGCGUAAAGGGCUCGUAGGUGGCCAACUAAGUCAGACGUGAAAUCCCUCGGCUUAACCGGGGAACUGCGUCUGAUACUGGAUGGCUGGAGUUUGGGAGAGGGAUGCGGAAUUCCAGGUGUAGCGGUGGAAUGCGCAGAUAUCAGGAGGAACACCAAUAGCGAAGGCAGCUCGCUGGGACGGUAUUGACGCUGAGGCGCGAAAGCGUGGGGAGCAAACAGG
This 253-nucleotide ribosomal RNA is filed under the name uncultured bacterium. Its description in RNAcentral is "partial 16S ribosomal RNA". It matches the Rfam family "Bacterial small subunit ribosomal RNA", at positions 524 to 776 of the family's 1533-position model. The record is from RNAcentral.